RNAcentral lists this RNase P RNA (326 nucleotides) under bovine gut metagenome. RNAcentral describes it as "Bacterial RNase P class B". It matches the Rfam family "Bacterial RNase P class B". From Rfam's summary of the family: Ribonuclease P (RNase P) is a ubiquitous endoribonuclease, found in archaea, bacteria and eukarya as well as chloroplasts and mitochondria. Its best characterised activity is the generation of mature 5'-ends of tRNAs by cleaving the 5'-leader elements of precursor-tRNAs. The record is from RNAcentral.
AUGACUGCUGCGAAAGCAGAGGAAAGUCCAUGCUCGCACAGGCUGUGAUGCCUGUAGUGUUUGUGCCGGAUGAAAUAAUAAAUCCGGGCAGCGAAAGCUGACGGCCGCUGACUUUCCUAAAGGCUUUGCCCAGGGAAUAAGCGAUAAAGUGCCAAAGAGACGAGCGCACGGGAAACCGUGCGGGUGGAACGCGGUAAACCCCUCAAGCGAGAAACUCAAAUUUGGUAGAGGAACCCUGAAACACGAACCGAAGUGCGGACGGGGCGGAAGUAAUUCCGCAGAUAAAUGGUCAUCCCUUUAUAUAAAGGACAGAACAUGGCUUACAG